GCCUAGCCCUAAACACAAAUGACCCACUACCCCAACCGUUCGCCAGGGAACAACGAGCCCCAGCUUAAAACCCAAAGGACUUGGCGGUGCUUUAGACCCCCCUAGAGGAGCCUGUUCUAGAACCGAUACUCCCCGUUCAACCUCACCCUCCCUUGUUACCUCCGCCUAUAUACCGCCGUCGUCAGCUUACCCUGUGAAGGCCUAAUAGUAAGCAAAAUUGGCAAAGCCCAGAACGUCAGGUCGAGGUGUAGCGAACGAGAGGGGAAGAAAUGGGCUACAUUUACUGACUCAGUAAACACGGAUGUUGCAUUGAAACAAGCAUCUGAAGGAGGAUUUAGCAGUAAGGGGAGAAUAGAGCGCCCCCCUGAAAAUGGCCCUGAAGCGCGC
This 387-nucleotide ribosomal RNA is filed under the name Arenigobius frenatus (half-bridled goby). Its description in RNAcentral is "partial 12S ribosomal RNA". It matches the Rfam family "Bacterial small subunit ribosomal RNA", at positions 794 to 1384 of the family's 1533-position model. Lineage: Eukaryota; Metazoa; Chordata; Actinopteri; Gobiiformes; Gobiidae. The record is from RNAcentral.